GCCGGGCACGGUGGCGCAUGCCACCACUUUGGGAGGCCGAGGUGGGUGGAUCACUUGAGGCCAGGAGUUCGAGACCAGCCUGGGCAACAUGGCAAAACCCUGUCUCUACUAAAACUGCAAAAAUUAGUCGGGCAUGGUGGCACAUGCCUGUAAUCCCUGCUACUCGGGAGUCUGAGGCAUGAGAAGCACUUGAACCUGGGAGGUGGAGGUUGCAGUGAGCUGAGAUGGCGCCACUGCACUCCAGCCUGGGCAACAGAGUGAGACUCCGUCUCA
RNAcentral lists this small RNA (273 nucleotides) under Pongo abelii (Sumatran orangutan). The record is from RNAcentral. Lineage: Eukaryota; Metazoa; Chordata; Mammalia; Primates; Hominidae.